This 506-nucleotide ribosomal RNA is filed under the name uncultured bacterium. Its description in RNAcentral is "partial 16S ribosomal RNA". It matches the Rfam family "Bacterial small subunit ribosomal RNA", at positions 29 to 523 of the family's 1533-position model. The record is from RNAcentral.
AGUGAACGCUGGCGGUAGGCCUAACACAUGCAAGUCGAACGGCAGCACAGGAGAGCUUGCUCUCUGGGUGGCGAGUGGCGGACGGGUGGGGAAUACAUCGGAAUCUACUUUUUCGUGGGGGAUAACGUAGGGAAACUUACGCUAAUACCGCAUACGACCUACGGGUGAAAGCAGGGGAUCUUCGGACCUUGCGCGAUUGAAUGAGCCGAUGUCGGAUUAGCUAGUUGGCGGGGUAAAGGCCCACCAAGGCGACGAUCCGUAGCUGGUCUGAGAGGAUGAUCAGCCACACUGGAACUGAGACACGGUCCAGACUCCUACGGGAGGCAGCAGUGGGGAAUAUUGGACAAUGGGCGAAAGCCUGAUCCAGCCAUACCGCGUGGGUGAAGAAGGCCUUCGGGUUGUAAAGCCCUUUUGUUGGGAAAGAAAUCCAUCUGGUUAAUACCCGGGUGGGAUGACGGUACCCAAAGAAUAAGCACCGGCUAACUUCGUGCCAGCCGCCGCCGUAA